GGGGGUGUCCCCGGGGUGGGCACCGUGAGGUGAAGAUGCCCCUGAGGUGGGCACUGUCGGGUGGGUAUCGCCCUGAGGUGGGCACUACGAGGUGGGUAUCGCCCUGAGGUGGGCGAUAUCAGGUGGGCAUAGCCCUGAGGUGGGCACUGUCAGGUGGAGAUGCCCUGAAGUGAAGGCACCGUGAGGUGACAUUACCCCUGAGGUGGAGCUGCCCCUGCAUACCACCGUAGGUAUGAGACAGAGGGCACCGCUGAAGUGAAGGAGCCGUGAGAUGGAGGUAUACCCCUGUGUUGACUUAUUUACCCCUGAGGUGGGGGCACCCGUGUGAAGCAGGGGAACCUCCAGGACGGGGACACCCACUGGGGGCUGGGAGCUGCCAUGGGAGCACACUGGGCCAGAGCCCCCCGCAGCUGGGGGAAACGCCUGGAUCUGCAGCACCAACGUGGGACCGUGGAGCUCCGGCUGCUGCCUGGACAGGGCCCUGUGCUCCUCUGCAAGCUGUCGGCGCACCCCCGGGCCAUGGGCAGCGCCUGCCUCGCUGGGAAUGUUUUGGAAGCUGAAACUCAGCGCCAGUGGAUGUCAGUGUGCCAGUGAGGUGGGGUGACCACCCGACUCCCUCUUUCUUGGCCCAGUGGCCUCUAAAAUGCCUCUGAAGCUGUGUUUGUGCCCCAAGCCAGGGGCUUUGCACCGUGCUGCCCCUCAGCUCUUCAUCCAGCAUCAGCUUUGGCCACCAUGGCCCAGGAACACGACGUGACUGCGGAUGCUGCUCUAAUUCAAACGCCAUCCUUGCUCGGGGUGAGCCUCCGGGCACCAUCGCUGCCAUCGUCACUGCCCUCCGAACUUCUCCUGGGCACCGUCCCCAUCAUCGCCCGCAGGGAGGAGAAUCAAAGGCAAGGCGAGCGGAGCGGAGGAAGCCAGCUUGAUUACAGAUGGUAAACACUGGAAACGCAGGCUGCUGGGAAGGACCCGGUGCUCGGGCUGAAGCGAGCCGCAGCAUCGACCUCCCCUCUCCAUCUCAGAUUCAGCCGAGGGCUCUGUCCUUGCUCCCGCCAGCGCAGAUUUGCCCCAGAGGGGGUGAAGGACCCCAUCCUCAUCGCCCCCCGCUUCGCUGCCGCGCUCCCUCUCCUCCGAGGCACGCUGAUUGUACUUAUUAAGAGUUAUUAAUACUUAAUCAGCUGGCGGAUUUAAUUGUGCCAAUAUUAAAAAUGCAUCAAUGUCAAUUUUAUUCAUUAAAUAUUUACUUUGUUGAAGGGAAACUGUUUUGCUGCUGUUUUAAUAUCACUUUCCGAAGCUUUUGGAUGUGACCUCGGUAAAUGUGGGGAGCCCUCGGAUGGGGAGCGACGUGGCAGCGCGGGGCCGGGGCAGGGACCGG
This 1372-nucleotide long non-coding RNA is filed under the name Gallus gallus (chicken). Lineage: Eukaryota; Metazoa; Chordata; Aves; Galliformes; Phasianidae. The record is from RNAcentral.